UCUCUGGUGGUCCAGUGGUUAGGACUCUGCACUUGCACUGCUGAGGGCCCAGGGUUCGAUCUGUGGUCAGGGAU
Molecule: transfer RNA, 74 nt
Filed under: Bos taurus (domestic cattle)
Lineage: Eukaryota; Metazoa; Chordata; Mammalia; Artiodactyla; Bovidae
Also listed under: 2 other names
Rfam family: tRNA
About the family: Transfer RNA (tRNA) molecules are approximately 80 nucleotides in length. Their secondary structure includes four short double-helical elements and three loops (D, anti-codon, and T loops). Further hydrogen bonds mediate the characteristic L-shaped molecular structure. tRNAs have two regions of fundamental functional importance: the anti-codon, which is responsible for specific mRNA codon recognition, and the 3' end, to which the tRNAs corresponding amino acid is attached (by aminoacyl-tRNA synthetases). tRNAs cope with the degeneracy of the genetic code in two manners: having more than one tRNA (with a specific anti-codon) for a particular amino acid; and 'wobble' base-pairing, i.e. permitting non-standard base-pairing at the 3rd anti-codon position.
Source: Rfam by way of RNAcentral